Molecule: long non-coding RNA, 1616 nt
Organism: Notolabrus celidotus (New Zealand spotty)
Lineage: Eukaryota; Metazoa; Chordata; Actinopteri; Labriformes; Labridae
Exons: 4
Source: RefSeq, a predicted model, not a curated record
GGAUCACUGACCAAUCAGAAUCAAGAAGGGGCGGGACUUCUGAAAUCAACUUCGUCAUCAUCAAUAUCAGAAGUCCGCACAGAGGAGAAAGUAACAACUCUCGUUUUUUGAGUGGAAUUACAGAGGGCGGAUGGUGAGGAGGAGGAGGAGGAGUGUUCAAUUGGUGGACCAGCUGCAUGAGACCAUGAUCUACAGCAGUGUUUGCAGAGUGAUUAAAGGUUAUAAAAACGGGCCACAUGGAAGAUGAAGAAGAGAGUGGUUGUUGCACAAAGAUCUUACUCAUCAUGCAUGAUAGUCCUCAAAGGCCACCAUCGCUUCACUGACAGGAGGGGCUGCUGUGUUGUGCCUGAUUUGACUGUGACCAGAUGGACCAUAAUACCCCCUAGAACUGAACCAUUACAGGCCGGUAGGUGCUGUAGUUCUGGAGUCAAGGUAGACCCAGGAAGACGUCUUGAAGACCCUCAACUUUGUACAGGAAUUAAAGUAAUUUACAGCCAUUAAAAUGAUCCAAACUGAAAGACAGUGUUUGCAUUGCACCAAACAGAUGAAGUGGUAAAUUUGUCCACUGCAGGCUCCUGUAGCUCUUACCCAGACCAUGUGGUACACGGUGUAGAUGUCUCCCUCACAGGCGUACACCCUGAUGGCCCUCAGCGUGAAGCCGAACUUCUUCCCCGAGCUGUGAAUGAUGACUGGCUGCCGCGGGUUGGAAGUGCAGAGCGAGGAGGAGUCCCUGCUCGGCGAGGAGUCUCGAGAGGAAGGAUCCGAGGACAGGGAGUAAGGAGACAGGGGGCUGGCCAGCGGAGACACCCCGAAGAUAUCUGCAAGAAUAAGAGAUCACCAGCUCCUGAUUAGAGUCUUGAUUGAAUCAAUGGGAUCUGAGCGUCCCUGCGCUCGUAGCGAGGUGUUGCUCUAAAGCUCAUUCAUGCUGCUCCUGCUGAGGGUGAAGCUAAUGGGAUUUUCUCUCCCAGCAGUGAAGACCUCUCACUCCCACCCUCUACGCUUUCUUUCCUUGUUAGCGGCUCGCACUCGGCUACUUGCCUGCAGCCAAUCUGUAAAAUGGGACUCACAGCAGGUGUCGUGCCGGGCCAAUUUUGCACAGAUCCAUAGUGCGCUUUCAUCUCUUUCACAUGAUUUGUUCAAAGCCUGUUGCUCUUCUCCUCAUUCUUGUCACGUUGUUGCUUUGACAUACUUUUAACCUUCAAAAAAACGGGUUGGGAUCACUCCUUUGAGAGUGGGGAUCACUCCUUUGAGAGUGGGGAUCACUCUCAAAGUGUGUCUGAAGUGUUUGCUUUGACUCACCUCCAGGGAUCAGGAGCGACAGGGUCCCGGUAGAGAUGGACUUUGGGACUUUGGGGACAGCUCCGCUCCUCUCUGCAGCGCUCUCAGGUCGCAGAGAGCUGGUUUGAGUCACAUGGUCUGUGGAGGGGUGACUGGUGCAGUCGGGGCUCUCUAAACCUUCACCUCGGGGGGUCAGCUGGUCCAGAUGUUCUGAGAAGCUUCCUGAUGAUGACGAGAGAAGAGAGACGUCUAAUCAAACUUAAGAAGCUGCAUUCAGGGAGACUUUUUUGGAGCUUUACUGUGUUUAAAAUAUGACACCAAGUGUUUCUAGUACACAG